Molecule: ribosomal RNA, 253 nt
Filed under: uncultured bacterium
Lineage: Bacteria
Description: partial 16S ribosomal RNA
Rfam family: Bacterial small subunit ribosomal RNA
Source: RNAcentral
UACGGGGGGUGCGAGCGUUGUCCGGAAUUAUUGGGCGUAAAGGGCGCGUAGGCGGCUAGAUGUGUCAAAGGUGAAAUCCCUCGGCUCAACUGAGGAACUGCCUUUGAAACUGUCUGGCUUGAGGCCGGGAGAGGGUAGCGGAAUUCCCAGUGUAGCGGUGAAAUGCGUAGAUAUUGGGAGGAACACCAGUGGCGAAGGCGGCUACCUGGACCGGUUCUGACGCUGAGGCGCGAAAGCGUGGGUAGCAAACAGG